GGUGUUGUAGCUCAGUAGUAGAGCACUUGCCUCACAUGCAUGAGGCUCUAGGUUCGAUCCUCAGAACCA
This 69-nucleotide transfer RNA is filed under the name Urocitellus parryii (Arctic ground squirrel). RNAcentral describes it as "Spermophilus parryii (Arctic ground squirrel) tRNA". It matches the Rfam family "tRNA". Rfam says of the family: Transfer RNA (tRNA) molecules are approximately 80 nucleotides in length. Their secondary structure includes four short double-helical elements and three loops (D, anti-codon, and T loops). Further hydrogen bonds mediate the characteristic L-shaped molecular structure. tRNAs have two regions of fundamental functional importance: the anti-codon, which is responsible for specific mRNA codon recognition, and the 3' end, to which the tRNAs corresponding amino acid is attached (by aminoacyl-tRNA synthetases). tRNAs cope with the degeneracy of the genetic code in two manners: having more than one tRNA (with a specific anti-codon) for a particular amino acid; and 'wobble' base-pairing, i.e. permitting non-standard base-pairing at the 3rd anti-codon position. Lineage: Eukaryota; Metazoa; Chordata; Mammalia; Rodentia; Sciuridae. RNAcentral also lists the same sequence under 1 other name. The record is from Rfam by way of RNAcentral.